UUGUGACCCCCCCCCGCAUUUCGCUCACAAUGGUUUGAUCAACUGCCUCCCACCCACAGCAGUCCUGAUGCAGGUAGGCUGAGUGUAAAUCACCGCGACCAGUCUGUCAUUGGUGGCAGACCUUUUCAGUAAGUUGUUCAAACAAAGAAUAUGUUAGACAUGUCUUUACUUCUACCACUCAAUACAAUAGAACACAUUUAUAAUCAUCACCUUCUCUUCAUUUUCGCUGCAUUGAAUUACAGGUCACUCUUUAUGUUAGCUAGCGGUUAGCUGACGUUUGCUAGCUAGCUAGUAACAUCAACCAGUGUGUGUGUUUGACUAGCUAGCUACCUGGUAGAUCGAAGCCCAUUAGAGUUUGAGUUUAUUAGGAUCCCCAUUAGCUGUUGCAUGACAACAACUAGUCUUCCUGGGGUCCACACAAAACAUAAAACAUUACAUUCGACAAGACUUUUACAGAACAGUAAAUAAAAAAUAAAAAACUGAUUUCCGAAGUCCAUUUUCCUUCAAGCAUUGACUUUCAUAUUUUCCAUCAUAUACCACUUAUUUUCUGAUUUCAUUUCAUUGGAAAGAAAAUAAUGAUAAUAAAAUAAGAAUAAAGUACUUAUAUCUAUCUGCAUUUACAGAUGCCAGCCUUCAAUUCUCUUAAGGUACAACUACCUGAAAUGAAAAUAAAAGAAGAAUGAAUUAUAGAAUGAUAGAAGAUAAUAUGAUAGAAGCCCAUCUCCUACUGUAACUAACCUGCACACUGUGUGUGUGUGUGUGUGUGUGUGUGUGUGUGUGUGUGUGUGUGUGUGUGUGUGUGUGUGUGUGUGUGUGUGUGUGUGUGUGUAGCCAGCCAACCAACCAGGUAGAACAUGGCAGAAAAAAGAAAAAAUCAUGUAUUCAACCCAGUUCAGUGUAUUCAUACGUGUAUUGCUCUCCUGUGUAGAAUGAUGUGGUGGUGACAGUGCAGACUCAGGGAGGAGGCAGAGAAGGAGAGAAAGAGACACAAUAGUUACAGGCGGCACAGCAGUGCACCAGCAGCUUGCAGCUUGAACAGACUGACAGGAAAAUGUCCUCUACAGCUCAUGAAUCAGGAGCUCAGAAACGAAAGAAAAAACGUCAGCAAGAGGAAAAUAAUAAAAGAGGUCGACAGCUAGUCACCAAGUAUUUUCACAAGAAAGAUGCGGCUUCAGGAUCAGUACCCCUUCCCUCAGGCCGGUUCCCAGUUGAAGGAGAGGGAGGUAAAGCAGCAGGGCUUGGGGUUAACAAACAGAUUUUAAAUAUGCUUACCAUGCAUUGAAUACAACUUUAGGUAAUAUUCACAU
Molecule: long non-coding RNA, 1307 nt
Organism: Notothenia coriiceps (black rockcod)
Lineage: Eukaryota; Metazoa; Chordata; Actinopteri; Perciformes; Nototheniidae
Exons: 3
Source: RefSeq, a predicted model, not a curated record